AAAAUUAAAGCACCCAAACGGCUGCAAAGUUAAUAAAGGCACCUCAUAAAGCUGCAAACUGUUAACUAAAAACAUCAAAACCUGUGGAAAAAGGCACCUAAUAAAGCUGCGUACUGGUAACUAAAAACAUCAAAAACCUGUUGGAGAAGGCACCCUAUAAAGGCUGUAAAUCAACACUAAAUCCCCAAAAGCUGUAGAAAAAACUUGUGGAGUACGAAAGAGUCAACAACAUCCAGCCGGCUCAAGAGAUUGAAGACACCCCCUUAGUAGCAGAAGCAAAAAGGAAUACGGAGAAUCAACAGGAGACGGCAUGCUCUAUAAAGUUUUUUUGUAACUUUAGAAAUAAAAAUGAUAGUGUUUAAGUGAAAAAAAAACUAAAAACAUUGAUAAAAACAAUUUCCCUAUUAUUAAUUUUGAAAAGUUAAAACAAAACAGACGACAUGCUCUAAAAAGUUUUAUUGUAGGUUUAGAAAUAAAAAGUGAUAGUGUUUAAGUGAAAAAAAAACCCAAAAACUAAAAACAUUGAUAAAACAAUUUUUCUAUUAUCAAUUUUGAAAAUUU
This is a long non-coding RNA of Musca vetustissima, 561 nucleotides long. RefSeq lists it as uncharacterized. Lineage: Eukaryota; Metazoa; Arthropoda; Insecta; Diptera; Muscidae. The record is from RefSeq and is a predicted model, not a curated record. The transcript is spliced from 2 exons.